This 1753-nucleotide long non-coding RNA is filed under the name Salmo salar (Atlantic salmon). RNAcentral describes it as "lncRNA (ENSSSAG00000108479.1)". The record is from RNAcentral. Lineage: Eukaryota; Metazoa; Chordata; Actinopteri; Salmoniformes; Salmonidae.
GUUAUAUUUAACAGAAAUUAUCUUGCGCGGAACCUUAUUUUGCACCAUUUACACUUCAACAGUUUAGAAGGUAACGUGUUUACGCUCAACGUGAUUUUUUUUAAUGUAAACGGAUUCACCACCUUCAAGUCGGCAGGAUGAAUUCCAUAGGUAAGGUGGUGUUGGGACUUUUGGGGCUUGCUGUCGUCAUCAUCUUGAUAGCAGUGCCCACAGCAAUAUAUCUGAACGCGGAAAAAGUGACGGCUCAGAGGACGUUCACGCUCAGUGACGUCUUCAAUAGUUCCAUCAGGGACAGAUCCUACAACAUGCGCUGGAUCUCAGGUAAAACACACUAGAAGCCUAAAUGAGUGGAUGGCUGUUAUGUUUAAUCCAGUCAGGAAUUGUGUGCCUGGAAUGUAUUACACAACGCUCUAACCCUGGAAGGAUGCACGUUUAGAUGUAAGCCAACAACACAAUGUUCCCUUUACAAAAUGAUAAGAAACAAUCCAAAAACAAUACUAGGCCUAUAUACUGUCUCUAUUUAAAUGGCACACUUUGGCUUUUUGUUAAAUCAUCAGUGCUAGGCAGAGACCUGAGUAGCAACAGUGCUGAUAUUUCAACUUAAACGUCAGUUAGUUCGUUAUUAUUAAACUCCUCUCUUCUUUCCCCUCCCCGAUAAACCAUGAGUAUCUGCAUAAUAAAGACGGCUCCAUCUUCCUUCACAACCUGAUUACAGGAAACAACUCAGAAUUCCUGAGCAGCAUCACAUUUGUAAGAUACCCUUCAUGGGUCUGUCUGUCUGUCUGUCUGUCUGUCUGUCUGUCUGUCUGUCUGUCUGUCUGUCUGUCUGUCUGUCUGUCUGUCUGUCUGUCUGUCUGUCUGUCUGUCUGUCUGUCUGUCUGUCUGUCUGUCUGUCUGUCUGUCUGUCUGUCUGUCUGUCUGUCUGUCUGUCUGUCUGUCUUUCAGCAUUACCAAAUGAGGAGAGUUACAAACUUUACACACCAGUCAGAGUUAUACUUAAACUACAUCUUUAAUAAUUAAGAGCUUUUGCAAAAGCACUUUGAUUUUCAAUGAUGCGCUAUCUCUAAUGAACCAUUGAAAAGGGAUUACACAAAAGUACAAAGAUCUUUUAUAGCCAAGAUACACCCCUCUCAAAGUACAUGACGAACCACAGAUACAUAGAAUGGGUCACAAGGUUAAGUUUUGUAUGAAAGAUAUCUAUAAAACAUAGCAGACAGCAACUGCUAUGUCAACAGUUUUCAUUGUAUAGACCAGUGUCUGGUCCUCCUACUCCAAACUGGAACCGUCUCUCCCUGGUACGGUAUAGAACAGAAACACCAUCUCAUCCAAUUGCAUAAAUCAAUUGACAACUCUAGACACUCCCAUCUCAAGUAAACCCCCUCUUGACUCCACUCCUGGACAAGCUCACUGAGGGGAGUGAGCCUCUAGGUCAUACACUAUCCCAAGAUAAGUGCAAGAUCAGAGGGGACAUACAAUGGUCCAGACACUGCCAUACACCUUCCCCCAAUGCAAAAUGAGGAAGUGACUUGCGCACAGACAUUGUGGAGACAAGUAAUUGGUUCCCCAUUAAUCACGUCAUCCCUUCACAUGGUUUAACAGAUACAUUCACAUAUGACAAGUAUCUCACAUAAGCAUAUUAUGCAAAUAAAACAUCUUAAUUAUCUAUGUUACCCAACUAAUUCUGAUUCAUCCGCCUCACUAUCUGUCUGUCUGUCUGUCUGUCUGUCUGUCUGUCUGUCUGUCUGUCUGUCUG